UGGGCUUCUUUGCUGACGAGUGGCGGACGGGUGAGUAAUGUCUGGGAAACUGCCUGAUGGAGGGGGAUAACUACUGGAAACGGUAGCUAAUACCGCAUAACGUCGCAAGACCAAAGAGGGGGACCUUCGGGCCUCUUGCCAUCGGAUGUGCCCAGAUGGGAUUAGCUAGUAGGUGGGGUAACGGCUCACCUAGGCGACGAUCCCUAGCUGGUCUGAGAGGAUGACCAGCCACACUGGAACUGAGACACGGUCCAGACUCCUACGGGAGGCAGCAGUGGGGAAUAUUGCACAAUGGGCGCAAGCCUGAUGCAGCCAUGCCGCGUGUAUGAAGAAGGCCUUCGGGUUGUAAAGUACUUUCAGCGGGGAGGAAGGGAGUAAAGUUAAUACCUUUGCUCAUUGACGUUACCCGCAGAAGAAGCACCGGCUAACUCCGUGCCAGCAGCCGCGGUAAUACGGAGGGUGCAAGCGUUAAUCGGAAUUACUGGGCGUAAAGCGCACGCAGGCGGUUUGUUAAGUCAGA
RNAcentral lists this ribosomal RNA (520 nucleotides) under uncultured Escherichia sp. Its description in RNAcentral is "bacterial SSU rRNA". It matches the Rfam family "Bacterial small subunit ribosomal RNA", at positions 76 to 592 of the family's 1533-position model. Lineage: Bacteria; Pseudomonadati; Pseudomonadota; Gammaproteobacteria; Enterobacterales; Enterobacteriaceae. The record is from RNAcentral.